GUCGAGAAUAAUUCACAAUGGGGGAAACCCUGAUGGUGCAACGCCGCGUGGAGGAUGAAGGUCUUCGGAUUGUAAACUCCUGUCAUCUGGGAGUAAGACCUGACGGUGAAUAGCCGGCAGGGUUGAUAGUACCAGAAGAGGAAGGGACGGCUAACUUCGUGUCAGCAGCCGCGGUAAUACGAAGGUCCCAAGCGUUGUUCGGAAUCACUGGGCGUAAAGGGAGCGUAGGCGGCGUGGUAAGUCAGAUGUGAAAUCCCGGGGCUCAACCCCGGAACUGCAUCCGAUACUGCCAUGCUUGAGGGUUGGAGAGGUAGCUGGAAUUCUCGGUGUAGCAGUGAAAUGCGUGGAUAUCGAGAGGAACACUCGUGGCGAAGGCGAGCUACUGGACAACAUCUGACGCUGAGGCUCGAAGGCCAGGGGAGCAAAAGGGAUUAGAAACCCCGGUAGUCC
RNAcentral lists this ribosomal RNA (450 nucleotides) under uncultured bacterium. RNAcentral describes it as "partial 16S ribosomal RNA". It matches the Rfam family "Bacterial small subunit ribosomal RNA", at positions 354 to 796 of the family's 1533-position model. The record is from RNAcentral.